CAGGUGUCAGGUGUCAAGUGCCAACACAAAAAGCUGGAAGAAAAGAAGACUAAUAACUCUUAGAGUGGACAGUAGAAGACGUCAGCGAUCCAACCUGUGAGACAUGACGGACGCCAGGCGAGAGACAAGCCACUAACAGGCUGUGAUUCUGGGCUGAACUAGUCACACCGUCGGUCCAGCUGCUUCUCCUGCCGCCUCGAGCAGCAGACGCACAUUCUCCCAGAGGUCCGAGCAGCCCAGCGGUGUCCUGAAGUUCCCAGGACUGCGGGAUGCGUUGUGACAGACUUUAAAUGUGAGGAAGAGGAGCCCACGUCACCCAUCACCUCUGUGAGAUGAAAAGCCCCGAAAGCAGCCCGCCACCCUGCUGGACACAGCUCAGCUGUUAUAAGAAGUGUUUGACAGGAGUGGCAGAACAAGCUGAUGACGGUGAAUCAGAAACCCCAAAAUGUUCUUGAAAUAGACUACAAGUGAUGCAUUCCCUGAGCCCUGUGAAUGAAGAGAAGUGAGAAAUGACACUGACCUGCUGCAGGGCUGGCUAAUAUAUCCAGGCUCCCAAAUGAUGGGAUGACCUUUCCACCUCGGCCAGGACUGCAGCGUCACUCGCAGCAUGAACUGGAAACUCAUCUCCUCGCUAAACACUUCGCAUCGCUCUCAACUCUGCCUUCCUCCUCCACUUGCAUCUGAUUUGAAUCCGGCUUUACACGAAAGGUCAGAAUUCUAUAGUCUUGGGAUCCAUCAUAUUUUCAAUAUUUAUAGCACCACAUACAACCAUUACCAUUUGUCAUGUAAGCAGAGCAGGGUACUCAGGAAUUUCAUUUUACUCGCACAGUACUCUUGAUAGCAGGAUUCUACUCAUCCUAACUGGACACAUAUAAAUAUCUAUUUUCAGUGAAACAUUUUGUUGCUGUGUAAAGACUGA
Long non-coding RNA from Sebastes umbrosus (honeycomb rockfish), 919 nucleotides. RefSeq lists it as uncharacterized. The record is from RefSeq and is a predicted model, not a curated record. Lineage: Eukaryota; Metazoa; Chordata; Actinopteri; Perciformes; Sebastidae. The transcript is spliced from 8 exons.